AAGCGGAGGAAAAGAAACUAACAAGGAUUCCCCUAGUAACGGCGAGUGAAGAGGGAAGAGCCCAAGAUUGAAAGCUGGCGUCUUCGGCGUCCGCAUUGUAAUCUCAAGAAGUGUUUUCCGCUUCGGACCAUGCCUAAGUCCCUUGGAAAAGGGCAUCAUAGAGGGUGAUAAUCCCGUACAUGGCAUGGAGCGCCCGAAGCUUUGUGAUACGCUUUCUAAGAGUCGAGUUGUUUGGGAAUGCAGCUCAAAAUGGGUGGUAAAUGCCAUCUAAGGCUAAAUAUUGGGGAGAGACCGAUAGCGAACAAGUACAGUGAUGGAAAGAUGAAAAGAACUUUGAAAAGAGAGUUAAACAGUACGUGAAAUUGCCAAAAGGGAAGGGUAGGAGGUCAGAGAUGCAGCCUGGGAUUCAGCCUUGCUUUUUGCUUGGUGUUUUUCCCAGGUGGCAGGCCAACGUCGGUUUUGGGCACUGGAGAAGGGUGGGAGGAAUGUGGCACCUCUCGGGGUGUGUUAUAGCCUCCUACUGGAUACAGCGACCGAGACCGAGGACAGCAGCGUACUCGCAAGAGCGGGCCUUCGGGCACCUUUACGCUUAGGGCGUUGGCAUAAUGGCCCUCUACCACCCGUCUUGAACCACGGA
Molecule: ribosomal RNA, 637 nt
Filed under: Pseudozyma sp. 04023
Lineage: Eukaryota; Fungi; Basidiomycota; Ustilaginomycetes; Ustilaginales; Ustilaginaceae
Description: eukaryotic LSU rRNA
Rfam family: Eukaryotic large subunit ribosomal RNA
Source: RNAcentral